UGAUCAGUUGGCCAUAUAGAUCAUACUGGA
RNAcentral lists this non-coding RNA (30 nucleotides) under Mus musculus (house mouse). Lineage: Eukaryota; Metazoa; Chordata; Mammalia; Rodentia; Muridae. The record is from RNAcentral.